UGCUCCGCUCCAUCGCAUGGUGGGGUGGGAAAUGCUUUUGCGGCAUGGGAUGGGGUCGCGUCCUAUCAGCUUGUUGGCGGGGUGAUGGCCCACCAAGGCGUUGACGGGUAGCCGGCCUGAGAGGGUGACCGGCCACAUUGGGACUGAGAUACGGCCCAGACUCCUACGGGAGGCAGCAGUGGGGAAUAUUGCACAAUGGGCGCAAGCCUGAUGCAGCGACGCCGCGUGCGGGAUGGAGGCCUUCGGGUUGUAAACCGCUUUUGUUCAAGGGCAAGGCACGGUUUCGGCCGUGUUGAGUGGAUUGUUCGAAUAGGCACCGGCUAACUACGUGCCAGCAGCCGCGGUAAUACGUAGGGUGCGAGCGUUAUCCGGAUUUAUUGGGCGUAAAGGGAGCGUAGACGGAUGGGCAAGUCUGAUGUGAAAACCCGGGGCUCAACCCCGGGACUGCAUUGGAAACUGUUCAUCUAGAGUGCUGGAGAGGUAAGUGGAAUUCCUAGUGUAGCGGUGAAAUGCGUAGAUAUUAGGAGGAACACCAGUGGCGAAGGCGGCUUACUGGACAGUAACUGACGUUGAGGCUCGAAAGCGUGGGGAGCAAACAGGAUUAGAUACCCUGGUAGUCCACGCCGUAAACGAUGACUACUAGGUGUCGGGUGGCAAAGCCAUUCGGUGCCGCAGCAAACGCAAUAAGUAGUCCACCUGGGGAGUACGUUCGCAAGAAUGAAACUCAAAGGAAUUGACGGGGACCCGCACAAGCGGUGGAGCAUGCGGAUUAAUUCGAUGCAACGCGAAGAACCUUACCUGGGCUUGACAUGUGCCGGAUCGCCGUGGAGACACGGUUUCCCUUCGGGGCCGGUUCACAGGUGGUGCAUGGUCGUCGUCAGCUCGUGUCGUGAGAUGUUGGGUUAAGUCCCGCAACGAGCGCAACCCUCGCCGCAUGUUGCCAGCGGGUGAUGCCGGGAACUCAUGUGGGACCGCCGGGGUCAACUCGGAGGAAGGUGGGGAUGACGUCAGAUCAUCAUGCCCCUUACGUCCAGGGCUUCACGCAUGCUACAAUGGCCGGUACAACGCGGUGCGACACGGUGACGUGGGGCGGAUCGCUGAAAACCGGUCUCAGUUCGGAUCGCAGUCUGCAACUCGACUGCGUGAAGGCGGAGUCGCUAGUAAUCGCGGAUCAGCAACGC
This 1181-nucleotide ribosomal RNA is filed under the name uncultured Bifidobacterium sp. RNAcentral describes it as "bacterial SSU rRNA". It matches the Rfam family "Bacterial small subunit ribosomal RNA", at positions 173 to 1357 of the family's 1533-position model. Lineage: Bacteria; Bacillati; Actinomycetota; Actinomycetes; Bifidobacteriales; Bifidobacteriaceae. The record is from RNAcentral.